AGAGUUUGAUCCUGGCUCAGAUUGAACGCUGGCGGCAUGCCUUACACAUGCAAGUCGAACGGCAGCACGGGAGCAAUCCUGGUGGCGAGUGGCGAACGGGUGAGUAAUACAUCGGAACGUGCCCUGUAGUGGGGGAUAACUAGUCGAAAGACUAGCUAAUACCGCAUACGACCUGAGGGUGAAAGUGGGGGACCGCAAGGCCUCAUGCUAUAGGAGCGGCCGAUGUCUGAUUAGCUAGUUGGUGGGGUAAAGGCCUACCAAGGCGACGAUCAGUAGCUGGUCUGAGAGGACGAUCAGCCACACUGGGACUGAGACACGGCCCAGACUCCUACGGGAGGCAGCAGUGGGGAAUUUUGGACAAUGGGGGCAACCCUGAUCCAGCAAUGCCGCGUGUGUGAAGAAGGCCUUCGGGUUGUAAAGCACUUUUGUCCGGGAAGAAAUCGCACCUGAUAAUACCGGGUGUGGAUGACGGUACCGGAAGAAUAAGGACCGGCUAACUACGUGCCAGCAGCCGCGGUAAUACGUAGGGUCCAAGCGUUAAUCGGAAUUACUGGGCGUAAAGCGUGCGCAGGCGGUUGUGCAAGACCGAUGUGAAAUCCCCGGGCUUAACCUGGGAAUUGCAUUGGUGACUGCACGGCUAGAGUGUGUCAGAGGGGGGUAGAAUUCCACGUGUAGCAGUGAAAUGCGUAGAGAUGUGGAGGAAUACCGAUGGCGAAGGCAGCCCCCUGGGAUAACACUGACGCUCAUGCACGAAAGCGUGGGGAGCAAACAGGAUUAGAUACCCUGGUAGUCCACGCCCUAAACGAUGUCAACUAGUUGUUGGGGAUUCAUUUCCUUAGUAACGUAGCUAACGCGUGAAGUUGACCGCCUGGGGAGUACGGUCGCAAGAUUAAAACUCAAAGGAAUUGACGG
This 912-nucleotide ribosomal RNA is filed under the name uncultured Ralstonia sp. Its description in RNAcentral is "bacterial SSU rRNA". It matches the Rfam family "Bacterial small subunit ribosomal RNA", at positions 8 to 916 of the family's 1533-position model. Lineage: Bacteria; Pseudomonadati; Pseudomonadota; Betaproteobacteria; Burkholderiales; Burkholderiaceae. The record is from RNAcentral.